RNAcentral lists this unclassified non-coding RNA (1028 nucleotides) under Hevea brasiliensis (rubber tree). The record is from RNAcentral. Lineage: Eukaryota; Viridiplantae; Streptophyta; Magnoliopsida; Malpighiales; Euphorbiaceae.
GAACAUAAUGACAACAAGCCAGUGACUCACAGCCGGGAUUCCCAAGAGGUUAAAUUGCCUGAGGGAUUAGAAAUGUUGAAAAUUUUCAAGAACUAUGAAACGGAUACCUCUCUCUUGGAUGAUUUCACCUAUUAUGAUGAGAGGGAGAAGUCCUUGCUUGAAAAGAAGAGUAAGCAGCGUCCUCUUCCACCUGGUAGUGCUGCAGCUGACACAAUAAGUCAACUAGCCGAUAGUCUUGCUGGCACACUUAACUUGGAAGGCAACAAGAAGUUGCCUUGAUAGAGUUUGUAGUGCACUACAUUAAGCCAGUAGCAGAUUCCAGAGGCAGGUUUAUUGCAGUCAUUCAAUGUUUAUUUGUUUGGGCAACCAACUGGGUCAUAUAGUUAAGAAGUUGCCUUGGAUAGAGUUUGUAGUGCGCUAGCAGAUUUCAGAAGCAGGAUUUUCUGCAGUUAUUCAAUGUUUACUUGAUUGAGCAACCAACUGGCUCAUAUAGAUAAGGAGAUUGCUAACGCCUAACAGCGUUUUGGGAGGUGGCCUUUCAUCACCUUCGGAUCAGAAAACUUUCUCUUUCCUUCAUUUGUCAUUUGUUCAAUUAGUUGUUAUUUGCGGUUCUUGGGCAAGGAGAGAGCAGCCAGUAGUGUUAGUGCUUAACUGUUUUCCCAUUAUCACUUCGUUGUUUCUAUAAAGUAGGUGAUGGCAAGCAAUACAAGAAGCCAUCCGACAUUUGGAAAUUUGUGGAUCUCUCCAGGCUGAUGUCAUAUUGUACUCUAGCUCUUGUUAGUUUCAGGCGGUACCCAGGGCUGCUUUGUUAUUGCUGUAGAAUUGCCAAAAUGGGUGAUAAUUGGCAGGAUGCUGCAACAUGUUUACAGAAAUCAAACAAGUUUUAUAUUGAGCCUGUAUUUCAUGAUCAACUCAAAUAAUGUCUGGCUUUGAUAGUCAGAUUAUUUCUUUUAUGGAGUCAGGUAUCAAUGUUUGUCUGUUGCACUAUGGAGUCCGGUAUUAUUGUUUUCUCUGUUGCAUUAGAUUCG